UAGAAAACGACUCUCGGCAACGGAUAUCUCGGCUCUCGCAUCGAUGAAGAACGUAGCGAAAUGCGAUACAUGGUGUGAAUUGCAGAAUCCCGUGAACCAUCGAGUCUUUGAACGCAAGUUGCGCCCGAAGCCGUCAGGUCGAGGGCACGUCUGCCUGGGCGUCACACACC
Molecule: ribosomal RNA, 170 nt
Filed under: Ficus insipida
Lineage: Eukaryota; Viridiplantae; Streptophyta; Magnoliopsida; Rosales; Moraceae
Description: 5.8S ribosomal RNA
Rfam family: 5.8S ribosomal RNA
About the family: 5.8S ribosomal RNA (5.8S rRNA) is a component of the large subunit of the eukaryotic ribosome.
Source: RNAcentral